GGUGCGUUAGCUCAGCCUGGUAGAGCACCGGUCAUUUGGGACCGGUGGCCGGACGUUCGAAUCGUUCACGCACCC
Molecule: transfer RNA, 75 nt
Filed under: Variovorax sp. WDL1
Lineage: Bacteria; Pseudomonadati; Pseudomonadota; Betaproteobacteria; Burkholderiales; Comamonadaceae
Also listed under: 1 other name
Description: tRNA-OTHER
Rfam family: tRNA
About the family: Transfer RNA (tRNA) molecules are approximately 80 nucleotides in length. Their secondary structure includes four short double-helical elements and three loops (D, anti-codon, and T loops).
Source: RNAcentral